GACGAACGCUGGCGGCGUGCUUAACACAUGCAAGUCGAACGGAAAGGCCCUGCUUUUGUGGGGUGCUCGAGUGGCGAACGGGUGAUUAACACUUGAGUACCCUGCCCUUGACUUUGGGAUAACUUCAGGAAACUUGGGCUCAUACCGGAUAGGAGCUCCUGCUGCAUGGUGGGCGUUGGAUAGUUUCGGCGGUUGGGGAUGUACUCGCGGCUUAUCAGCUUGUUGGUGGGGUAGUGGCUUACCAAGGCUUUGACGGGUAGCCGGCCUGAGCGGGUGACCGGCCACAUUGGGACUGAGAUACGGCCCAGACUCCUACGGGAGGCAGCAGUGGGGAAUAUUGCACAAGGGGCGGAAGCCUGAUGCAGCAACGCCGCGUGCGGGAUGACGGCCUUCGGGUUGUAAACCGAUGUCGCCUGUGACGAAGAGUGAGUGACGGUAAUGGGUAAAGAAGCACCGGCUAACUACGUG
RNAcentral lists this ribosomal RNA (468 nucleotides) under uncultured bacterium. RNAcentral's name for it is "partial 16S ribosomal RNA". It matches the Rfam family "Bacterial small subunit ribosomal RNA", at positions 28 to 507 of the family's 1533-position model. The record is from RNAcentral.